GUGUGUUGAUAUAUUUUGGGCAGCCAGAUGUGCCUUCUUCUCCUCCAGAAGUGUUUUUAAUUUUGAGAUGUUGCUUUAAUGAUUAAAAUUUGGAACCGAAUUGGAAAAACUUUUUUCCUCAAAAGAUCAAAGUUCAACCAGUAACACAGCACUGGGUGGAGGAGAAAAGACAGUCUUCUUUUCUUUAGCAGUUAAUGUUGCUGUGCCCACAGUUCGUGAUAAUAGUGAAAGAUAAGUAAGUACUGAAGCAGCUGCUACCCGACAGAGCUCCUUAAUGCCAUUUGCAAGUCAAAUUGACUUUAUAGGCUGGAAAGAGGACAAAGGAGCAUUUUCGUCUUCAGGAUGUUAUAUUGCUGAUGUGCUCUUGGAGCCGUCAGUAUCAGUUCCACAGUAAAACAUUUGCUCCUGUCGUUAUUUUAUCAAUGCAAACGUGGUCAUUUGUACUCAGUGUAAACCACAGCAGUAAGACAGGAAGCAAAUCAGAGACAUCAAUGUGUAUUCAUACACUUCCUCUCAUAAUACCCUUUGUGUGCUGUCUAUUCUUUGCUCUGCUGACUAUAUACGAUAUUUUGAAACAGAAGACACAACCAUGCAUUUCACAAUAACUACUGGAGCUACUGCAAAGUUGGAACCCAAUUCCAGAUGUUCUCAGUCAUCCAGGUCAUGGUUGUCUAAGAAGCAUGGAGACACUUCAACCACCUGGAAAUACCCAGCCUGCAGAAGGAGACGUCGUUCAGGUUGUAGGACUUGGUGGUUAUAGGGUAAAUGCCAGCAGCCACCCAC
Oreochromis niloticus (Nile tilapia) is the source of this 783-nucleotide long non-coding RNA. RefSeq lists it as uncharacterized. The transcript has 3 exons. NCBI's taxonomy places the organism in Eukaryota, Metazoa, Chordata, Actinopteri, Cichliformes, Cichlidae. The record is from RefSeq and is a predicted model, not a curated record.